Molecule: long non-coding RNA, 373 nt
Organism: Anneissia japonica
Lineage: Eukaryota; Metazoa; Echinodermata; Crinoidea; Comatulida; Comatulidae
Exons: 4
Source: RefSeq, a predicted model, not a curated record
AUUUGAUAUACGCCCUCUAUCGGCCCUUUUUCGCCAUCUUUGAUAAGUAGAACAGUGUUGAGAAUCUACUUUGAGAUUGUGUCGGCUUUCCAACUAGAACAAUGGCCAAGUCUAAGAACCAUACAAGUCAUAAUCAAAGUAAAAAAAAUCACAGGAAUGGAAUCAAAAAGCCAAAGACACAGCGAUAUCCAUCAUUAAAAGGGGUUGAUCCAAAAUUUAUGAAGAACCUGAGGUUUGCAAAAAAACACAAUGUACGUCACCCCAAGCCAAAAGCAUAAAGAUCUCAGACAGCCAGACCCAAUUUAGGCAUACAACACUGGACUAAGAUGUGUACACUAUAGAGUUGGGAAAUAAAAUUAAUUGUACAAACAUU